GUUUGCACCCCCCACCCCCGCACACACACCUACCUAUGACAUCACUCCUUAUGAAUAUUUAUACCAUCUAUUUAUUAUCCAAGCUUCCUGAACUUUUAAUAAAGUGGAAAAUAACAGCUCUGCAGAGUCAGUGUCUCCCCUAGGAAUUUCCUGAUGGAAAGGGAUAGUCGAGGUUGCAUCAGUCAAAAUGUAACCUACCUUCCUGGCAAGAGUUUAUUUGCAAGGUCCAGGUAACUUUGUCUGAAAGUUUUGGCCUCAGUUUCCUCCAGCAGAAGUGCCUCUGAGUUGACUUGAACUAUCUGGGAGCGAGGAAAUGGAUUGUGCUGACACAAGCACAACUAGGCAUUCCAGACCCAAGCCCAGAAGAUCUCCCAAACACUGAAGAGGCCUGGGUUAUCCACACCAUGCCCUUGUGCUUCUGCACUGCUUCUGCACUCAUAGCAAAGCUCUCAACCCUCCCCACUAGGAGUGCCUGCAGCAGUGAGACACAGAAGCCCUGUCUCCUCAUCUUGGCAAUGAGUUCAGGUAAAGGCCAGAAACCUAUAGAGAAUGCAUCUAAGAAAUGCUGGGAGAUCUGAAAUAGAUUUUUUUUUCCUGUUUCUCAACUAGCUCUAAUUACCAGUGUCCCGAAAAACAAGCCUAGAGGAGCAGCUUCAUCUGCAAAUGUGACUAUGUGAUAUGAACUUUUUGUUAAGGGCCAUAGGCCUGACUCUCAGCUGUAAUAACUCAGCCUACUUCUAUUGAAUUCAAUAGAAUUCAUCUGAUUUACACCAGUUGAGGAUCUGGCCUCAUAUCUUCUCAGAAGUCGGUUGUAUCCUCAAUGAUAAGGACGAAGAACUUUGUGAAAAUUGUACUGAAAUCCUGGAUACUUUGCCAGUUGGACUGCAAACUGCUGUGGAAAAACUUAUGGGGGAGGGCUAUAUUACCAUGAAGAAAUCAAAAAGAACUUGUGACUUUUGAACGCUUUUAAGAUUCAGAGGAUCAUGAACAAACAUUCCUUGCUUUUCAGCAUCAAUGAUUUUGUGUACCUGUGCCAUUGUAGUAUUGGCCCUAGACUACCAAUGACAAUGUUCAUUACACAUCAAUCUAUAAAGGACACACCACAACGACUCAUAAUUAAUCUAUCUCCUUCCUUCCUCUAUUUUGAUAUUGUGGUGUUAUGUUUCACCUGACCCAUUGGAUGCUUUAUAUGCAUUUUGGCAAAGGCAGAAAGAGCUCAGCCCUACAAAGAGUCAAGUGCCAGUCGAGCAUGUUGAAUUUUUUUUAAAUUUCAAAAUUUUGGUAAAAAAUUUAAUGAUGAAAUUUUCAUGAUUCCCCCCCCCCCUUUUUUUUUUGAGCAACUACAGAGCUGGUCAAAGUGUUGACAAAUUUCUAAAGGCAAGAAGAAAUUUUUUCUUUUAAAUAUUGGCCAGAUUUUUUUUUGCUCUGUUUUUCAACCAGCUCUAAUUAUGAGGGUUGCUGAAAAAUGAGCCUACAAAAGAACUGGCCAUCAAAAGAGAAAACAGCUUUGUCUUCAUUACCAUCGCAGCCUCUCUCCGAUGGCUGAAAAAUAAAGGUCUCACUCUAGUGUCCCAAAUUCUGCAAAGGCUACUAGAUUACAUCCAUCUUUGUUGUUGAUGGCGCUAUUCCCCUGCAGUUGUACACACAUUCCCCAUGUU
Dermochelys coriacea (leatherback sea turtle) is the source of this 1658-nucleotide long non-coding RNA. RefSeq lists it as uncharacterized. The transcript has 4 exons. NCBI's taxonomy places the organism in Eukaryota, Metazoa, Chordata, Testudines, Dermochelyidae. The record is from RefSeq and is a predicted model, not a curated record.